AUCCUAACUUGGAGCACUUAUGCGAUAUGAAAGAAUCAUAAGUGCUCUUUGUGAAGGAUGA
RNAcentral lists this microRNA precursor (61 nucleotides) under Sarcophilus harrisii (Tasmanian devil). RNAcentral's name for it is "Sha-Mir-430-o11_pre stem-loop". Lineage: Eukaryota; Metazoa; Chordata; Mammalia; Dasyuromorphia; Dasyuridae. The record is from RNAcentral.